RNAcentral lists this ribosomal RNA (852 nucleotides) under uncultured organism. RNAcentral describes it as "bacterial SSU rRNA". It matches the Rfam family "Bacterial small subunit ribosomal RNA", at positions 462 to 1320 of the family's 1533-position model. The record is from RNAcentral.
UAGAGGUUUGACGGUACCGUACGAAUAAGCAUCGGCUAACUCCGUGCCAGCAGCCGCGGUAAUACGGAGGAUGCAAGCGUUAUCCGGAUUUAUUGGGUUUAAAGGGUACGUAGGCGGGAGCUUAAGUCAGUGGUGAAAUCCUGCAGCUUAACUGUAGAACUGUCAUUGAUACUGGGCUUCUUGAAUGUAGUUGAGGUAGGCGGAAUGUGUAAUGUAGCGGUGAAAUGCUUAGAUAUUACACAGAACACCGAUUGCGAAGGCAGCUUACUAAACUACGAUUGACGCUGAGGUACGAAAGCGUGGGGAGCGAACAGGAUUAGAUACCCUGGUAGUCCACGCUGUAAACGAUGAUCACUCGUUGUUGGCAAUACACCGUCAGCGACUGAGCGAAAGCAUUAAGUGAUCCACCUGGGGAGUACGACCGCAAGGUUGAAACUCAAAGGAAUUGACGGGGGCCCGCACAAGCGGAGGAACAUGUGGUUUAAUUCGAUGAUACGCGAGGAACCUUACCUGGGCUUAAAUGUAGAACGACGGACCGGGAAACUGGUCUUUCUUCGGACGGUCUGCAAGGUGCUGCAUGGCUGUCGUCAGCUCGUGCCGUGAGGUGUCGGGUUAAGUCCCAUAACGAGCGCAACCCUCAUCAUUAGUUGCCAGCGGGUAAUGCCGGGGACUCUAAUGAAACUGCCGGUGUAAACCGAGAGGAAGGUGGGGAUGACGUCAAGUCAGCACGGCCCUUAUGUCCAGGGCUACACACGUGUUACAAUGGUCGGUACAAAGGGCAGCUACCUGGCGACAGGAUGCUAAUCUCGAAAACCGAUCUCAGUUCGGAUCGAAGUCUGCAACUCGACUUCG